UCGUUCGGUUUGGUUGGCUCCUUGCUCACGUGCAACGAACUAUCAAGCCUCGAUCCUCUUCAUUUGAAAGCCCCGAUGCCUUGUGCACUUCGGGGAACGGAUGGUUCCUGUGUUGAUUACCCACUAUGGAGGAAAUCAAUUGUUCGUUUGAUCUUUAUUCGCUCUUUCUUCUUUUUAAGAAAAAGGGCGGACCAAGUAGUUUUGCCUGUGUUCCAAGCAUGCUGAAAUCGGUUGCUAUGGCCYAUGGGCAAAUACUCGUGCUCUCGGGUGCAGAAAGUCAUGAGGGCGGACGAGACACUCUUGUCCAUUUGCCCAAUUGUUCCUUGAAAUGAACGAUGUCCGUUCUCGUGUUGAUUUGGUCAUUACCUUUGGGAAUGAUGCGGUCAAUCGAGUUUCGGUGUCGAGAAGGAA
RNAcentral lists this unclassified non-coding RNA (411 nucleotides) under Glochidion kunstlerianum. Its description in RNAcentral is "partial external transcribed spacer". Lineage: Eukaryota; Viridiplantae; Streptophyta; Magnoliopsida; Malpighiales; Phyllanthaceae. The record is from RNAcentral.